This 404-nucleotide unclassified non-coding RNA is filed under the name soil metagenome. RNAcentral's name for it is "partial contains 5.8S ribosomal RNA, internal transcribed spacer 2, and large subunit ribosomal RNA". The stretch from base 1 to 121 matches the Rfam family "5.8S ribosomal RNA", at positions 35 to 154 of the family's 154-position model. The record is from RNAcentral.
GAUGAAGAACGUAGCGAAAUGCGAUAAGUAAUGUGAAUUGCAGAAUUCAGUGAAUCAUCGAAUCUUUGAACGCACCUUGCGCCCUUUGGCUAUUCCGAAGGGCAUGCCUGUUUGAGUAUCAUGAACACCUCAACUCUCAUGGUUUGCCAUGAUGAGCUUGGACUUUGGGGGUCUUGCCGGCCUAUGGGUCGGCUCCUCUCAAAUUAAUCAGCUUGCCAGUGUUUGGUGGCAUCACAGGUGUGAUAACUAUCUACGCUUGUGGUUUUCCAUCAGGUAACCUUCAGUGAUGGAGGUUCGCUGGGGCUCAUAAAUGUCUCUCCUCAGUGAGGACAGCUUUUUUGAACGUUUGAUCUCAAAUCAGGUAGGACUACCCGCUGAACUUAAGCAUAUCAAUAGGCGGAGGA